Molecule: transfer RNA, 64 nt
Filed under: Stylosomus ilicicola
Lineage: Eukaryota; Metazoa; Arthropoda; Insecta; Coleoptera; Chrysomelidae
Description: tRNA-Glu
Rfam family: tRNA
About the family: Transfer RNA (tRNA) molecules are approximately 80 nucleotides in length. Their secondary structure includes four short double-helical elements and three loops (D, anti-codon, and T loops).
Source: RNAcentral
AUUUAUAUAGUUUAAAGAAAACAUUACCCUUUCAUUGUAAAAUCGAGAAACAUCUCUAUAAAUA